GAUGAACGCUGGCGGCGUGCCUAAUACAUGCAAGUCGAGCGAACGGACGAGGGGCUUGCUCCUCUGACGUUAGCGGCGGACGGGUGAGUAACACGUGGAUAACCUACCUAUAAGACUGGGAUAACUUCGGGAAACCGGAGCUAAUACCGGAUAAUAUAUUGAACCGCAUGGUUCAAUAGUGAAAGACGGUUUUGCUGUCACUUAUAGAUGGAUCCGCGCCGCAUUAGCUAGUUGGUAAGGUAACGGCUCACCAAGGCAACGAUGCGUAGCCGACCUGAGAGGGUGAUCGGCCACACUGGAACUGAGACACGGUCCAGACUCCUACGGGAGGCAGCAGUAGGGAAUCUUCCGCAAUGGGCGAAAGCCUGACGGAGCAACGCCGCGUGAGUGAUGAAGGUCUUCGGAUCGUAAAACUCUGUUAUUAGGGAAGAACAAAUGUGUAAGUAACUAUGCACGUCUUGACGGUACCUAAUCAGAAAGCCACGGCUAACUACGUG
RNAcentral lists this ribosomal RNA (497 nucleotides) under uncultured bacterium. RNAcentral's name for it is "partial 16S ribosomal RNA". It matches the Rfam family "Bacterial small subunit ribosomal RNA", at positions 28 to 507 of the family's 1533-position model. The record is from RNAcentral.